CUCAAGCUCACGGGUCCUCUUGUUCGUGUUUUGAAGCUUGUUGAUAACGAGAGGAAGCCGGCCAUGGGGUUUAUUUAUGAGGCUAUGGAUAGAGCCAAAGAGGCUAUUGCAAAAGCCUUUAGUGAGGAUGCAAGCAAAUAUUCGGAGGUAUUUGAAUUGAUUGAUAAGAGAUGGAAUGUUCAACUACAUCAUCCUUUGCAUGCUGCAGGGUUUUACCUUAAUCCAAAUUUUUUCUAUGCCCACCCUAACAUUCAAGCCGAUAAGGAGAUCAUGAAAGGCCUCUGGGAAGUCAUUCAAAAGCUUGUGCCCCUACAUGAUCAAGAUAAAAUUUCUCAAGAGUUGACUUUAUACAAAGAAGCACAUGAUCUAUUUGGCAUGCCUAUAGCUAUUAGAAACCGAGAAAAGAAAUCUCCAGGUAAAAUAUAUCAAUUAAUUAUGUACACAUACUUUUUAGUUAAAUAAAUUAAUAAAUUAUCGUAUACUCGUAUUGAUUACUCAUUACUUUGUAUAUCUUGACAGCUGAUUGGUAGGAUUCUUACGGUGCAGCAACUCCGAUUCUGCAGAAACUUGCUAUAAGGAUCCUUAGUCUCACUUGUAGCUCCUCUGGGUGUGAAAGAAACUGGAGUACUUUUGAACAAAUACACACCAAGAAGAGAAAUAGGUUGGAUCACAAUAGAUUGCAGGAUCUAGUAUAUUGCAAAUAUAAUCAAGCUUUGAAGGAAAGAUUUGACUGCAGGGAUAUUGUUGAUCCAAUCAAGUUGACUGACAUAGAUGAAAGCAACGAGUGGUUGUUAGGUCAAUUUGGAGAGGGCGACAAUGCGGAAAAUGACUUGGUGGAUGAGGAGGAUGAUCUUAGAUGGGGUGUUGUAGGUGAAGCAACGGGAGUUGAAGAAGAUUUUGGACCAAGUUUAAGGUCUACUGCUAGGAUUCGAGGAUCUUCAAGUGGUGUUGCUUCGUCAUCUAGGAGGAGCGAGCCGGACUCGGAGGAUGAAGAAGAGUUUAAUGAAGAAGAGGAGGAAACUGAGGAUGAGGAAAUACCACUUCAGCUGGAUGACGAUGAUGAUGAGGAUGACUAGACACUUUGUUAUAUUGCUACUUGCCUACUUGCUUAUUUUAUUUCGUAGACUUUUGCUUAUGUUGGAUAUUAUCUUGCAUUGUGAUUUGUGAGAACUUAUGAACUUCUCUAUGUUAUGCAUGCUAAUUAAGACUCUUUCGUGAUUUAAUAGGUGAAAUUAUAUUUCUAGUCUUUUUAUGUGAUAAUUUAUAAACAUGUUGCUUAUAUCAUGUUCUUUUGUCUUAUGAUGCGCCUCGAUUUAGUGAGGCACGCGCCUCGUUGUGCGCCUUGCGCAUGGUGCGCGUAAGGGACCUUUGCGUCCCGCAUUGCGCAUCGCGCCUCGAUAACACUGAGCACAGAUGUGUUAUGAACAUGUGCAUCCAUUCUAGUGCUGGAGUUAUCUUCUACAACUCGAUAGAGGAGUCUGCUGAGUCUUAUACCGGCGAUUUUAUUUUUAAGUGGUUUGAUCAAUGCAUCCAGGAGAUAGGGACAGACUAUGUUGUACAAGUUGUCACCGAUAAUCACUUGGCAAAGAUGGCUGCAAAGGAGAAGCUAAAAAGUGAGAGGCUAAGAAUCUUUUGGACUUCUUGCGCGGCGCACACAACCAAUCUCAUGUUGCAGGACAUUGAAAAAUUGAAAGUUUCAAAAUACAAUUGAGAAGACUAGGGCGUUGACUGUUUUUAUCUAUAGCCACACUAGGACAUUGGCACUUAUGCGUAAGUGCACGAGGAGGAAGGAUAUUGUCAGGCCAGGCACCACUAGAUUUGCUACCUCAUUCCUCACACUAGGAAGCCUGCUGGAAAAGGAUACACUAAUGGCUAUGUUUAAUUCAGAUGAGUUUACGGGUUUGAAGUUUAUCGGGGGUGCAAAGAAUAAAGCUCCUACAACAAAUGCUACGGUAAUAUCAAGAUCCUUCUGGAGAGGUGUGAGGAGUUGCUUGAAGAUCUUCACGCCUCUUUUGAAGUUUCUUCGUGUGGUCGGUUCAGAUACUUGUCCCUCAAUGGGAUUUAUUAUUGGAGAGCUUCAAAUAGUGAAGAGGGAAAUCAUGUCUGCUUGGAAGAUAGAGAAG
Asparagus officinalis (garden asparagus) is the source of this 2123-nucleotide long non-coding RNA. RefSeq lists it as uncharacterized. NCBI's taxonomy places the organism in Eukaryota, Viridiplantae, Streptophyta, Magnoliopsida, Asparagales, Asparagaceae. The transcript is spliced from 2 exons. The record is from RefSeq and is a predicted model, not a curated record.